This 593-nucleotide ribosomal RNA is filed under the name uncultured bacterium. RNAcentral's name for it is "bacterial SSU rRNA". It matches the Rfam family "Bacterial small subunit ribosomal RNA", at positions 338 to 944 of the family's 1533-position model. The record is from RNAcentral.
CCUACGGGAGGCAGCAGUGGGGAAUCUUGCGCAAUGGGCGAAAGCCUGACGCAGCAACGCCGCGUGCGGGAAGAAGGCCUUAGGGUUGUAAACCGCUUUCAGUAGGAACGAAAAUGACGGUACCUGCAGAAGAAGGUGCGGCCAACUACGUGCCAGCAGCCGCGGUGACACGUAGGCACCAAGCGUUGUCCGGAUUUAUUGGGCGUAAAGAGCUCGUAGGCGGUUCAGUAAGUCGGGUGUGAAAACUCUGGGCUUAACCCAGAGCCGCCACUCGAUACUGCUGUGACUUGAGUUCGGUAGGGGAGCAGGGAAUUCCUAGUGUAGCGGUGAAAUGCGCAGAUAUUAGGAGGAACACCGGUGGCGAAGGCGCUGCUCUGGGCCGAUACUGACGCUGAGGAGCGAAAGCGUGGGUAGCAAACAGGAUUAGAUACCCUGGUAGUCCACGCCGUAAACGUUGGGCACUAGGUGUGGGUUCCAACCAACGGAAUCCGCGCCGUCGCUAACGCAUUAAGUGCCCCGCCUGGGGAGUACGGCGGCAACGCUAAAACUCAAAUGAAUUGACGGCUGAGACGNGCGAGCGACGACGAGGAGAG